Molecule: non-coding RNA, 80 nt
Filed under: Calothrix sp. PCC 7507
Lineage: Bacteria; Bacillati; Cyanobacteriota; Cyanophyceae; Nostocales; Calotrichaceae
Description: Photosynthesis regulatory RNA1
Rfam family: Photosynthesis regulatory RNA1
About the family: Formerly known as Syr1 discovered in Synechocystis sp PCC 6803, is a regulatory factor controlling photosynthetic functions.
Source: Rfam by way of RNAcentral
AAGAUUUUCAAUUUCGGUAUCGGUAUCUCCCAUCGACAUUUGGACUUCUCCCUAUAACCUCGGUUUUCGCCGGGGUUUUU